AUUGAACGCUGGCGGCAUGCCUUACACAUGCAAGUCGAACGGCAGCACGGGUGCUUGCACCUGGUGGCGAGUGGCGAACGGGUGAGUAAUACAUCGGAACGUACCUUAUCGUGGGGGAUAACGCAGCGAAAGCUGUGCUAAUACCGCAUACGCCCUGAGGGGGAAAGCGGGGGAUCGCAAGACCUCGCGCGAUUAGAGCGGCCGAUGCCUGAUUAGCUUGUUGGUGGGGUAAAAGCCCACCAAGGCGACGAUCAGUAGCUGGUCUGAGAGGACGAUCAGCCACACUGGGACUGAGACACGGCCCAGACUCCUACGGGAGGCAGCAGUGGGGAAUUUUGGACAAUGGGGGCAACCCUGAUCCAGCAAUGCCGCGUGAGUGAAGAAGGCCUUCGGAUUGAAAAGCUCUUUUGUCAGGGAAGAAACACCGGCUCUAACACAGUCCGGGAAUGACGGUACCUGAAGAAUAAGCACCGGCUAACUACGUGCCAGCCGCCGCCGUAA
RNAcentral lists this ribosomal RNA (501 nucleotides) under uncultured bacterium. RNAcentral's name for it is "partial 16S ribosomal RNA". It matches the Rfam family "Bacterial small subunit ribosomal RNA", at positions 29 to 523 of the family's 1533-position model. The record is from RNAcentral.